Impatiens glandulifera is the source of this 539-nucleotide long non-coding RNA. RefSeq lists it as uncharacterized. Lineage: Eukaryota; Viridiplantae; Streptophyta; Magnoliopsida; Ericales; Balsaminaceae. The record is from RefSeq and is a predicted model, not a curated record. The transcript has 3 exons.
AUUUAUUAUUCGUAUAUUUUAUUUUUGAAUCGGCAAAACUAACACGCCUAUUCUAGCCGCGCCGCCGGCACCGGCGCCGGGACUCCAUUUCGCCGACUACAGUCUUGAGCCCGACUAUGUCUCCUUCCUAUGUAGCCAAUGGGACAAACAUUGCAAAGUUCAAUCAUCUGCACAUGAAAAAAAGCGAGCUAGUGCUAUUUUUCUUAACAUCGAUUGCCAAAGUGCAAGGUGAAGCUGGCAGGAUCCACGAAUGGCUAUUAUUUCUGUUUUCUGUCAUGAAUUAUUAUAUUUUCCUAUAAUUGUCUACCAUGGUUAGGACAAUUGGAAUCUCGCUGCCGUGUUGAUCAUUCAGGCACGCAUGUGCUUGCGCACUAAACAAGAAAGAACUUGUCACCUAACCAUCAAGUUGAAUUGGAAAACUCUCUUAGAUCUGUUUGGGCUCCGAGUCCGUUCUUUUUUCCACUGGUCUCGCUUUUUUUGCAUUCAACUCCACAAGAAAGGAAUUUUAAACUAGGUGUGUUAAGUAUUAUUAUGUAGCG